GUGGGUACGGCUGAGGCUCUGGGUCCACCUCCCACCCGUGUUUAUCGUACCUUGUUGCUUCGGCGGGCCCGCCGCAAGGCCGCCGGGGGGCAUCUGCCCUCUGGCCCGCGCCCGCCGAAGACACCAUUGAACGCUGUCUGAAGAUUGCAGUCUGAGCAAUUAGUUAAAUAACUUAAAACUUUCAACAACGGAUCUCUUGGUUCCGGCAUCGAUGAAGAACGCAGCGAAAUGCGAUACGUAAUGUGAAUUGCAGAAUUCAGUGAAUCAUCGAGUCUUUGAACGCACAUUGCGCCCCCUGGUAUUCCGGGGGGCAUGCCUGUCCGAGCGUCAUUGCUGCCCUCAAGCACGGCUUGUGUGUUGGGCUCCGUCCUCCUUCCGGGGGACGGGCCCGAAAGGCAGCGGCGGCACCGCGUCCGGUCCUCGAGCGUAUGGGGCUUCGUCACCCGCUCUGCAGGCCCGGCCGGCGCUUGCCGACACAUCAAUCUUUUUUCCAGGUUGACCUCGGAUCAGGUAGGGAUACCCGCUGAACUUAAGCAUAUCAACACGCGGAGAAGG
This 555-nucleotide ribosomal RNA is filed under the name Penicillium toxicarium. Its description in RNAcentral is "eukaryotic LSU rRNA". The stretch from base 177 to 330 matches the Rfam family "5.8S ribosomal RNA". Lineage: Eukaryota; Fungi; Ascomycota; Eurotiomycetes; Eurotiales; Aspergillaceae. The record is from RNAcentral.